CGAACCAAUAAGAAGCUUGCUUUUUGUUGGUUAGCGGCGGACGGGUGAGUAACACGUGGGUAACCUGCCUGUAAGACCGGGAUAACUCCGGGAAACCGGUGCUAAUACCGGAUAGAUUAUCUUUCCGCCUGGAGAGAUAAGGAAAGAUGGCUUUUGCCAUCACUUACAGAUGGGCCCGCGGCGCAUUAGCUAGUUGGUGAGGUAACGGCUCACCAAGGCGACGAUGCGUAGCCGACCUGAGAGGGUGAUCGGCCACACUGGGACUGAGACACGGCCCAGACUCCUACGGGAGGCAGCAGUAGGGAAUCUUCCGCAAUGGACGAAAGUCUGACGGAGCAACGCCGCGUGAGUGAAGAAGGUCUUCGGAUCGUAAAGCUCUGUUGUUAGGGAAGAACAAGUAUCGGAGGAAAUGCCGGUACCUUGACGGUACCUGACGAGAAAGCCACGGCUAACUACGUGCCAGCAGCCGCGGUAAUACGUAGGUGGCAAGCGUUGUCCGGAUUUAUUGGGCGUAAAGCGCGCGCAGGCGGUCCUUUAAGUCUGAUGUGAAAUCUUGCGGCUCAACCGCAAGCGGUCAUUGGAAACUGGGGGACUUGAGUGCAGAAGAGGA
Molecule: ribosomal RNA, 610 nt
Filed under: Caldibacillus thermoamylovorans
Lineage: Bacteria; Bacillati; Bacillota; Bacilli; Caryophanales; Bacillaceae
Description: bacterial SSU rRNA
Rfam family: Bacterial small subunit ribosomal RNA
Source: RNAcentral